AGGGACAAGGGAGGAUUACAAAGUUUUCUCCAAGUCCUGUGUUUAUCCUUCAUCCUUUCUGAAGUUUCGAUCGAAAGAUUCCUCUACCA
Molecule: transfer RNA, 89 nt
Filed under: Puchiumazus lanceifolius
Lineage: Eukaryota; Viridiplantae; Streptophyta; Magnoliopsida; Lamiales; Mazaceae
Description: tRNA-Leu
Source: RNAcentral